Molecule: RNA transcript, 1457 nt
Organism: Magnolia sinica
Lineage: Eukaryota; Viridiplantae; Streptophyta; Magnoliopsida; Magnoliales; Magnoliaceae
Gene name: multiple organellar RNA editing factor 3, mitochondrial
Exons: 5
Source: RefSeq, a predicted model, not a curated record
UUCCUUUCCCUCGAUGGCGAAAUAUCUCUAAAACCCUUCGAGCUGCAGGAGCACAGAAACACAUCAGCUAUGGCGCUUCUGUCUCGACGCAGCGUCGCUUCUCUCCUUUCUCGAACUCUCUCUCCAAAACCCAAUCCCCUUUCCCACUCUCGCUUCUCGCUUGCCGUCCUCGACCCGCUCCGACUCGGACUCGAUUCGCCCAGAGUCCCGACCCGGUCGAAAACAACGUCCGGGUCGGGUUACUCGCCGUUGAACGAUCCCUCUCCCAACUGGAGCAACAGGCCACCGAAGGAGACGAUUCUUCUUGACGGAUGCGAUUACGAGCAUUGGCUCAUCGUCAUGGAAUUCCCCGAAAACCCUAAACCCUCUGAAGAUGAAAUGAUCGCUGCAUACGUCAAGACUCUCACUGCAGUUGUCGGAAGCGAAGAGGAGGCGAAGAAGAAGAUUUACUCGGUUUGUACGACGACAUAUACGGGUUUUGGUGCGUUGAUUUCUGAAGAGCUCUCGUAUAAAGUUAAAGGGCAACCUGGUGUUCUUUGGGUAUUGCCGGAUUCUUACCUCGAUGUGCCGAACAAGGACUACGGAGGUGAUCUGUUCGUUGAUGGUAAAGUCAUCCAUAGACCGCAAUUCCGUUUCAAUGAGAGGCAACAAACUAGGAAUAGGCCUCGGCCACGGUAUGAUAGGCGGCGGGAAACAAUGCAAGUUGAAAGAAGGGAGCCGUUGCAACAACGGAGGGAGCCUGGGUCACAGCCGAUGCCAUUGGGCGGUCAAGGGUUAUCUCGAGGAGAACAGAGAGAUUCAGCUCGUAAUCAGGGAAAAGCUCAUGGGGCGAUGCCUGAGAAUUUCGGCCGGGAUACUAAAAUGGACUAAGUAUGGAAUGGACUCGAGGUUUAUACAAAACAUGGUUUCUUGAUUUUUGGAGGACUUGCCGGCCUUAUGUUAUGAAAAUCUGUGAAUUACGAUAGGGAAAAAGCUGUGGUCCCAAAAUCGGGAUGUUGUCGCAGAAAAAGGCGUGUACUAGGUUGAUGCUUGGGAAGGAAUGCUUGUUCCAGAUUCUCAUUUUGAGGCAAAAUUGAUAUGGUUUGCAAGCAUAUUUAGAUGAAAGGUAAAGGGAUCUUAGUUCUAAAACUCCAGGAGUUAAGACUCUAAACUAUAGGAAAUUCACUGAGGAGCGCGACUUUGGGUCCCAAAUUGACAACACUUGAUGAAUUGGCUUGUUAACUGGGUUGACCCACUGUGGCUUGCCAUAUCUUGAAUUGAGCCACUUGUCUGGUCUUUUUUCUUCUUCUUCUUUUUUUUUUUUUUUUCUUAGGUUUGCAAGAGGGAUUGACAUUGAGCAUGUACUUUUUUGCAUUGGUUAUGGAUGAGUUAAGGAGACAUUUGCAGGAAGAGAUCGCAUGGUAUAUAUUUUUUGUAGAGAACAUAGUUUUGAUUGACAAUAUGUUGUUUGUAGAGAA